GUACCAGGGACAAGAACGAAAUACAGAAAGACGGAAAGAAAUAGAGAAAAAAGAAAGAAAUCACGUGCGGCGCACAUCCGCAUUGGAUAUGCUACACGCUUGAUCACGUGACAAGGGUAUCACGUGACACGUGCGCGACCAAUCAGGUUCGUUUGGUCUGUCGCGAGGAGGGACAUGGAAGGAAAGCGGGUUCGCACGCGCUCUCCGGGCUUCCCUCGCCUCAGAUCAGUUCGGCAAACAGAUGGGAAGGACACGCGUGGUGCGUUCUGCAAAGGAGCAAGCUGCGUUUGAUGAACGCCGGCGUGAACUCGCUCGGGAAAGGGCUCGUCGUCGACGUGCCGGUUCUAGCGUGAGGGCUUGCCUAGCCGACGCUCGCGGUCAGCGAAGAGCCGACGAUUUCGAGGCGAGGGCUUCCGAAGCCGAGGCCCGCCGUCAGCGACCAGCAGAGAAUCCGUAUGCGAGGGCUUCCAAAUGUUACCCUGACGAAGGUCAGAUACACCGACAACCAGCUUCGCUUACCCCCAUUUUCUCGACAGGGAAAAGGCUGGGGAUUUUUUUACCCGAAAUUACGUUACAUUCUUCUUUUAUAUGGGCUCAGUAAUGAAUGAAUUUUGUUUAAUCUUCGAGUCAAGCGAAUUCUAAUAUACCCAUAUUUAAAAGUUAUUUUAGGUUAUUUAGCAUUUCGUUGUCUUUCCGCACGGAGUUUUCACUUUCAGCCCGGCGCGACGCACCGUGUGCAAUCCCGCGCUUGGCUAGGCCCAACAUGGUGGCCACGACACUUGAGGACGAAGUGCGCGGGGGUAUACAUUCUGAGUACCGAACUCCUUGCGUAAAGUUCACGGCGGUGGACGCUAAAUAUGAAACGGAGUAUACGAGUUUCCAGGCGACGUAGAACACCGGGUUGGGAUACUCUGCUGCAGCUCUAGAAAAUAAACGCCCGGAUAUAAAGUCCAAAUUUGAAUAGUUACAAUGCUAUCUUGAACUAGUCCAUAAUAGAAAUUAUUUGACCCGCAAUUGAAUAACAUGACCCUCGUUCCCUGCAAAUUUUGACAAACAAGUUUUUACUGGCUGUCAGGUUCCGUUCUGCCAGGACCCCGGUAAUAUCUGAGUUGUAAUGCUUUCCAGUGCUCAAAUAAGUUACUGUCUGACGUAACUAAACCGCAUUUUUACCUUUGGCUGGACAUCACCGCUAACACGACCUCCAUUUCUACGAAAUGUGAACUCGGUACGAGAUUCUGUUCUGGGUGCAACAUUCAGGCGUCUACCUGUGGUUAACAAUAAGGGUUUCACUACUGUACGAGCCAAUGAAAUCACGCAAGAAUUUUUUAACAGUAGGUGAGAAGUGGCCUUCUCUAUAAAACUUCAUCGUAAAUAUAAAACAAGGCAUGACAGCUUCGCUGAAGGUUCCAAAACGCGCCGUGAAGGUUCUUGUGGUUCAGCUACCUGCUCUUGGUUUUGACAUCGUCAUAUUACGGUACUCUACUUUGUGGAAAAUGAGCCAGCCGGAAGGACAGGGCUUUCAGGAGAAGCGAGUUGAAUAGAGAAUGUUGACAGCGUCUAGUUAUUUUUUUUUCACAGUUCCUAAGCAUGCAGUGCACAGUUGAGCAUGAAGACAUUGAGCGCACUUUUCAGCCUGCUUUUGUGUGGGGUUUUUUUUUACAUAAGACAAAAAAUAAUACGAAUCGUUUUUGCCACAAAGAGCGUCUAUAGAAGUGGGAACCGGCUACUGUGGUGUUAUUAAGAAGCACAAGAAGACUAUAAUAUUACACAAAGCCGAAAAACUUCUGCGUAAUAACCUCACCAAUAACCUACUACAAAAGACUACUGUGCAAUAACCUGCCGCAUUUCAAUUUUUAUUCCUUUAGAUUUCAAGCAACUGUACCGUGUCUUGUUACAAUGAGACAUCGUCCUGGAAUCAAACCGAUCGUGACAAUGAAACAUGUUACUAUGGUUACACUGAGCUACAAACAUUUAAUGGAGGAAUCAAAACCUACAACUGCAGUUUGGGUUCCUGCAAUAAUGGAACGUGCAUCCCAAAUGGUCAAUGCGCUGAGUGCUGGUAACGGAAGCAAGCGGAAGCGUGACGUGUUCGCUGCACGUGCUGACAACACCACGAGUGAAGAAAAACGGCGCUUCCAUUUGCCGUUUAGGCUUCACAAGAUGAUCUAGAAGCAGUUUAGCAUAAAUUGUGGUUCGGUAAAAGGAAAUAAAUAUUACAUGGGGUGAAAAA
RNA transcript from Dermacentor silvarum, 2230 nucleotides. It is a transcript of the gene named evasin P672-like, with no coding region annotated. The transcript is spliced from 2 exons. Lineage: Eukaryota; Metazoa; Arthropoda; Arachnida; Ixodida; Ixodidae. The record is from RefSeq and is a predicted model, not a curated record.